GACGUAGGUGGCGAACGUUAUCCGGAAUUAUUGGGCGUAAAGGGUGCGUAGGUGGCCUGGCAAGUUAUCAGUGGUAAAUCGAGGCCCAACCUCGUGGAAACUGGCAAUACUGUUUGGCUUGAGUGCAGGAGAGGUUAACGGAACUCUAUGUGGAGCGGUAAAAUGCACAGAUAUAUAGAAGAACAUCAAUAACGGCGAAGGCAGUUAACUAUUCUGUUACUGACACUGAGGCACGAAAGCGUGGGGAGCAAAACGG
Molecule: ribosomal RNA, 256 nt
Filed under: uncultured bacterium
Lineage: Bacteria
Description: partial 16S ribosomal RNA
Rfam family: Bacterial small subunit ribosomal RNA
Source: RNAcentral